AGUAAGUCCUGGAGGCAAGAGUGGAGCCUUGUUUGCAGAUCUACCUGCAAAUAGCAUGCUGGGAAAGCACCAGAACAAAAAAGUAAGGGGCUACCUCAACCACUACAAAAGCGAUUCUAGGGUCUACCACUCAAGAAGGCAUUUUAGAUUGCACAGAAGAGGAUCAAAAGAACAUCAGCCUCUAUGAGGUUGGAGAGGAGAGACAGAUCCAAGAGAGGUUUUUAUCUGUCAGGACUUGGAGAUAAACCAGAUCUCUGCUGUGAAUUACCCCCCAACCCAGGUCAAAAUAUUUGAUUUCAAAUUCUUCUCUGUGAUAUCAGUGAAGAAUCACUUCCAGCCUCUAGUAACAGAGACCCCCCCCCACCAGUGACUCAGACACUGGUGGGUAGAGGGAGAUGGAAAUUUUUCUCUCUUUGUAAAAAAAGCUUGUUGGGGACAGAACAGGGCUGAUAUGGUAGCUCCUCAGUCUUCAGGUACACAGACUGCUAUUAUUCACUCCACUUUCCUAAUGUUGCCUUCCAUCCUCAGGGUCACCUCACAGCCCACAGCAAUCACUGAAGCACUAGCCGUCAUGUCUGUAUUCCAGAGAGGAAGCUGGAAGAAAGGCAGAAAAAGCAAAAAAGCAUUAGCCCCUUACUAACCAGAGGGGAUGGGAUAUCUGGUCCAAUGUCUGAUGACAGGAGGACGAGAGAGCUGGAGCUCAGGGAUGCUGUCAGGACACUCUCAGGACGACUGUCCAGCACAACAAAAGACAAGGUUUACUCUCAGGGGUAAGCGCGAAAUACACAAGAGCAUUAAAAAAAGUGAAACACAUUCAUGGGUGACAGAUUCAUAAUGGGAUUAUUGAUUCAAAUACAGAUCCUUUCUCUUCCUUGUAUUUUCCACCCUCCUCCAUACAAAAAUUGUUGCUGACGGCUGGGCAGUGACUCAGGGAAGCAGCUAGCAGGGGACAAUGACUUGGCUGCAGCUGGUGCUAAAAACGACCAGCAUCACAGCAAAGGAGGGAGAUGGCAUCGUCUCUCAACCUAAUCUCCCUUAUAUUUGCAACAAGGGGGAAAGAACUUGAGAAGUUGAGUGGAUUAAAUGCCAUAAGGGGUCAGACACCCAUUAAUAAU
This 1115-nucleotide long non-coding RNA is filed under the name Capra hircus (goat). Its description in RNAcentral is "lncRNA (ENSCHIG00010013810.1)". The record is from RNAcentral. Lineage: Eukaryota; Metazoa; Chordata; Mammalia; Artiodactyla; Bovidae.